This 406-nucleotide ribosomal RNA is filed under the name uncultured bacterium. RNAcentral's name for it is "partial 16S ribosomal RNA". It matches the Rfam family "Bacterial small subunit ribosomal RNA", at positions 30 to 526 of the family's 1533-position model. The record is from RNAcentral.
AUUGAGCGCUGGCGGCAGGCCUCACACAUGCCAGUCGAGCGAGCGGCGGACGGGUGAGUUAUUUCUGUGAAACUGCCUGAUGGAGGGGGAUCACUACUUGAAACGGUAGCUAAUACCGCAUACCAUCAGUUGUGCCCAGAUGGGAUGAGCUAGUGGGUGGGGUAAUGGCUCACCUAGGCGUCGAUCCCUAGCUGGUCUGAGAGGAUGACCAGCCAGACUGGAACGGAUACACGUUCCAGCCUCCUACGUGAGGCAGCAGUGGGGAAUAUUGCACAAUGGGCGCCAGCCUUAUGCAGUCUUGCCGCUUGUAGGAAGAAGGCCGUCGGGUUGUACAGUACCCUCAGCGGGGAGGCGUUUCCCGCAGAAGAAGCACCGGCAAAAUACGUGCCAGCAGCCGCGGUAAUUC